This 637-nucleotide long non-coding RNA is filed under the name Homo sapiens (human). RNAcentral describes it as "HSALNT0389097". Lineage: Eukaryota; Metazoa; Chordata; Mammalia; Primates; Hominidae. The record is from RNAcentral.
ACUUUGUGGAGGUGCCUAGGCGGUGGACUCUCGCCUGUCUUCUCUGUGGGAUCCACGGGAUAGUCCCAUGAUCCUAGGAGAGGGCAGACGUGAGCCAGCCUGAAGAAACGCCAAGCAGGAGCCCCAGGAAUAAACCGCAAAAUCCCUAAGGAUCCAAAAGGAUCUGCAGGAUGCCUCAGGCCUGCCUAGUCAUCGUAGGGAUAUGGACACUAUUGAUGGGAGCGGCUGGCCAUCUGGAGUGGCAGUUGCCAUCAUGCCAGUAGCGCUUGGGCCGCAUGGGCAGUGUUGUCAGGAGCAGCAGCAGGAGCAGCAGUGGCGGUGCACUAUUCACAAUAGCCAAGAUAUGGAAUCAACAUAAGUGUCCAUCAACAGAUGAAUGGAUAAAGAAAAUGUGACAUACAUAUAUAAUGGAAUACUAUUAAGUUAUAAUAAAGAACAAAAUCCUGUCAUUUGUGGCAACAUGAAUGCAACUGGAGGGCAUUAUCUUAGGUGAAAUAAGCCUGGCAUAGAAAAAUAAACACCACAGGCCAGGCACGGUGGCUCACGCCUGUAAUCCCAGCACUUUGGGAGGCCGAGACAGGCGGAUCACGAGGCCAGGAGAUCGACACCAUCCUGGCUAACACGGUGAAACCCCGUC